This 130-nucleotide small nucleolar RNA is filed under the name Macrostomum lignano. RNAcentral's name for it is "Small nucleolar RNA SNORA5". Lineage: Eukaryota; Metazoa; Platyhelminthes; Macrostomidae. The record is from Rfam by way of RNAcentral.
UUUAUCUAUUUGUUUGUUAGGCCUAAUAUGCUUAGUUAUUAUUAGGCCUAGCCUAGUUGGUUGCAAAUAAAUGCUAGGCCUAGGGCUAGGCCUUAUGUCUUAUAAACUAGUAUAAUAUUUUUAGGCAGUU